Molecule: ribosomal RNA, 465 nt
Filed under: uncultured bacterium
Lineage: Bacteria
Description: partial 16S ribosomal RNA
Rfam family: Bacterial small subunit ribosomal RNA
Source: RNAcentral
GACGAACGCUGGCGGCGUGCUUAACACAUGCAAGUCGAACGGAAAGGCCCCUUUGGGGGUACUCGAGUGGCGAACGGGUGAGUAACACGUGAGUAACCUGCCCUUGACUUCGGGAUAACUUCAGGAAACUGGGGAUAAUACCGGAUAGGAAUCAUUGCUGCAUGGUGGGGGUUGGAAAGCUUCGGCGGUUUUGGAUGGACGUGCGGCUUAUCAGCUUGCUGGUGGGGGAGUGGCUUACCAAGGCUUUGACGGGUAGCCGGCCUGUGAGGGCGACCGGCCACAUUGGGACUGACAUACGGCCCAGACUCCUACGGGAGGCAGCAGUGGGGAAUAUUGCACAAUGGGCGGAAGCCUGAUGCAGCAACGCCGCGUGCGGGAUGACGGCCUUCGGGUUGUAAACCGCUUUCAGCAGGGGCGAAGCUUGUGGUGACGGUACCUGCAGAAGAAGCACCGGCUAACUACGUG